This is an unclassified non-coding RNA of Vigna unguiculata (cowpea), 3755 nucleotides long. NCBI's taxonomy places the organism in Eukaryota, Viridiplantae, Streptophyta, Magnoliopsida, Fabales, Fabaceae. The record is from RefSeq and is a predicted model, not a curated record.
UCAUUUGUCAUUUGUCAUGUUUAUGUUGCCUAUAUUAUUAAAACUAGCAUUAUUUGUGUAGCCUACAUUGAAGAACAACUACCAUCUGUGUUUUUAGUCUUGUCUUUAUUCUGCAGAAAAUUUAAAAACUGUUCUAAAGUAUAUCCUAAUACUAAAACUUACAAAACAUUAUUAUAACAAUGCUAACAAACCUAAAUUUUCCUUUAGAAACUAUUCUUAAAAUUAUCUACUCUCUAGAAUUAUAACAGCAAAAUAAAAAAGUGCACUUAUGAAAAAAAAAUACCAAAACUAAAACUGCAGCAAAACUCCAAUCAUAAAAAAAGUGUGCCGUACAUUUCCUAUAGAAUAUAAUUUACUUUUUUAAUAGUCUUUUUAUAAUACAUUAUGUGUAUCUUUAUUAGUAUCUCCUUUCAAUUUUAGAGCACAUUAUCAUUUUGAUCAUUAUUCUUCCUACAUGCAUAAUGGACUUCAACUUAAUAAUUGGUUCUCAAAUUUUAUUUUCUUUGUACCGAUUUAAAUUGGUUAUAUGUAACAUUUCAAAUGAGAAAUUCUUUAUUAGUGAGAAAAUGAAAUAAAAUUUGUAAAUAAAGAUUAAAAUGAAAGGGUUACAUAUUUAUUUAUUGGUGAACCAUAUUUCUUAUAUUCUUCUAUGCUUUAUAAGUGUUUGUGUAUUUUAUAAAAUACUCAUUGCCAUUUUGUUUAGGUAUCUAUUCCAAUGGAUAAAUCUUGGAUUGUUAAGCCUCGGAAUACAAUUGAAUACUCAAUUGGUUUAAAAAAAUUCUUAGAUUUUGCUUUUGAAAAUGGGGCUGUUGGAGAUACAAUUAAAUGCCCAUGUCCUAAAUGUGGGUUUAUGAAAUGGCAAACUAGAGGCGUAGUUGAGGAGCACUUGAUUUUAAAAGCAUUUCCCAAAAAUUAUGUUAUAUGGAAUCUUCAUGGUGAGAAACAAAUAGAAGAUAUUUCUAGUAAUGAAGAUGAUAUACAAGAGGCAUUUCAUUAUGAAAAUCCAAUGGAAACAAUGAUCAAUGAAGCAUUUGGGCACUAUAGGCAAGAAGGUACUAAUCUAGGCAAAACACAACCAUUGGGUGUAGAUGAUGUUUUGAAUGAAAGGCCAAAGGAGUAUCAUAAUGAGUUUAUUGAUUUUCUCAAUGAUGGAAAUCAAACAUUGUGUGACGGGAACAAGUACACAAAAUUAGAGUUUGUAAUCAAAUUAUAUCACAUCAAGGUUUUGUGUGGAUUAAGUGACAAGGAAAUGACUAUGAUCCUAGAUUUGUUAAAAGAUGCAUUUAAUGAAGCAAACUUGCCUCUUUCUUUUUAUGAGGCUAAGAAAACCAUCAACAAACUUGGUCUUAGUUAUACCAAAAUAGAUGCAUGUCCGAAUGAUUGUAUGUUAUAUUUAAGAGAUGAUGAAAAAGAUUUGCAAACAUGCAAACAUUGCGGUACAUCUAGAUGGAACCCAAAGAAGAAAAAAAAACAACCUGCAAAAGUUUUGCGUUACUUUCCAUUGAAACCAAGAUUGCAAAGAUUGUUUAUGUGUUCUAAGACUGCAGAGCAUAUGAGAUGGCAUUCUUUAGAGAACAAAGAUGGGUUCAUAAGGCAUCCAAGGGACGGUGAGGCAUGGAAAACAUUUAGUUUAUUGCAUCCUGAGUUUGCUUCUGAUCCUCGAAAUGUUCGUUUAGGCCUUGCUAGUGAUGGUUUUAAUCCUUUUGGUACUAUGAGUUCUACUUAUAGUAUUUGGCCAGUGUUUUUAAUUCCAUACAAUCUUCCACCAUGGAUAUGUAUGAAGCACACUUCAUUGAUCCUAUCCAUGAUCAUUCCAGGCAAGCAAAUGCCAGGAAAUAAUAUUGAUGUGUACUUACAACCCCUUGUGGAUGAGUUACGUGAGCUAUGGAAUGAUGGUGUGGAGACCUUUGAUUCUUCAUUGAAUGAAACUUUUAGGAUGCGAGUAGCUCUUAUGUGGACAAUUAGUGACUUUCCUGGCCUAGGCAUUUUAUCUGGUUGGAACACACACACAGGUUUAGCUUGCCCUACUUGUAACUUUGAUGCAAUACCUUGUCGUCUUCCUUAUAGUAAGAAGUGGUGUUUUAUGGGGCAUCGUCGCUUUUUGAGUAGAAACCAUAGAUUCAGAUUGAAUCGUGUUCGCUUUGAUGGAAACACUGAAACAAGGAAUCCACCACUAAAAUUAUCAGGAUCUGACAUUUUUAGGCAAGUUGAAAAUAUUAAUGUUACAUUUGGGAGAGGAGUAAUUUUGGAUGGUAGAGGAAAAAGAUCUAGAGAAGAAGUUAAACAAUGGAAAAAAAGAAGCAUUUUCUUUGAACUUCCGUAUUGGGAGUCUAAUUUGUUACGCCAUAAUUUAGAUUUCAUGCAUAUUGAAAAAAAUGUAUUUGACAAUUUGGUAUAUACUUUGUUAAAUGAAAAGCCUAAAUCCAAAGACAAUGUAAAUGCUAGGAAAGAUUUAAAGGAAAUGGGCAUAAGAGAGGAUCUUUGGCCAGAUGAUAAUGGAAGAUAUCACCUUGCUUUGUUUUCACUAACUCGUGAUACCAAAAAGUUGUUUCUCAAAACUUUGAAAAAUGUUAUAGUACCGGAUGGUUACUCAAGUAACAUUUCUAGAUGUGUUGAUGAGGUGCAACAAAAAAUAUUUGGGCUAAAAAGUCACGAUUGCCAUAUUAUUAUGGAGCAAUUACUACCGCUGGCAAUACGUAAUUUGUUACCAAACCAUGUCACUGCAACCUUGGUGGAGUUUUGCUCAUUUUUUAAAGUCCUUUGUAGUAAAAGUUUAAAUCCACAAGAACUUGAAAUGCUUCAAGAUCGCAUUGUGCUAACACUUUGCCACUUAGAGAUGUUAUUCCCACCAUCAUUCUUCACAAUUAUGGUUCAUUUAACUGUCCAUCUGGUAGAGGAAGCAAAACUUGGAGGUCCAGUUCAUUAUCGAUAUAUGUAUCCUAUAGAAAGGGAAUUAGGUCAUUUAAAGACCUUUGUACGAAACAAGGCAAAACCAGAAGGUUCUAUAGCUGAGGGAUACUUAGCUGAAGAGUCUCUUACCUUUUGUUCUAGAUACAUUGAAGAUAUAGAGACAAGGUUCAAUAGACCAAGACGUGUUUGUGAUAAAACAGGUGAUAAUGUGCCUUUUCUGUCAUCUAUCUUCCCACAAGGUGGGAAGCCAGUAGGAGGUUCCUCGAAUUUUACUUUAACUCAGAUGCAAAAACUACAAGCCCAUCGAUAUGUGCUUUUAAAUUGUCCAAUAGUCACACCAUUUGUUGAGUGAGUAAUCUACAUUAAGUGUGUGAUUUGUAUUUAAACUAAUUAAAUUAUAUUAGUCAUGUUGUUUGAUUAUAUAUGUAGUGAAUUUAGACAACUAAUAAAAAGAAGUUCAAAGGGAAGGCAACCUUCAACCACUGAGAUCGAAACUAGAGUGUUUAAAGAGUUUGUUGAUUGGUUUCAAAGGCGGGUUAGGAAGGACAUAUAUAUAAAGAACCUAUAAUAAAAAGUGUACUCUUUAUUCUCUGGUUCUCUUUCUUCUCUAGUUCUCUUUCUUCUCUGGUUCUCUUCACAGGUUAUAACUUAUAUAUAGUUUCUUGCACUUCAUUAAAUGCAUUCUGGUUGUGAAUUUUAACUAUCUAAAGCAUUUUUUUUCAUCUGUUAGGUCUGACCUUGUUGUGAACUUACCAAUUGUUCUGAUCUAAGUGCACCUCACUUGGUACUUUCAUCAAGUGAAUCAUCAAAUUCUAUAAGCUGUGGCAGUGUUCCCUUCAAGUGAG